This is a long non-coding RNA of Sebastes umbrosus (honeycomb rockfish), 306 nucleotides long. RefSeq lists it as uncharacterized. NCBI's taxonomy places the organism in Eukaryota, Metazoa, Chordata, Actinopteri, Perciformes, Sebastidae. The record is from RefSeq and is a predicted model, not a curated record. The transcript is spliced from 3 exons.
CUACCAACACAUUUUACAUGCUGUGAUCUGUCUGCACACUCUGUCGUGUUUACACCACAGACUGUAUAGAAGACGUGGAUGUUAAAACCAAAAUGUUACAAUUCACUGUCAUGAACUGAAAACAAACUGUGAAAGGGUGAAAGGAGAACUCCCAGACCGGACAACACCAUGGCAACGACCUGUCAAUCACAAGGUAGCAACACCCUAAAGCAUUCCCUGGUGUAUCAUCUAUUUUACUUUAAAUGGGACCAUCAUUUACUAAAUGAACACCACCAGAGGAUAGCUGUAUAUGAAGAAGACUAGAAA